UACGUAGGGGGCAAGCGUUGUCCGGAUUUAUUGGGCGUAAAGAGCGUGUAGGCGGUUAGGCAGGUCCGUUGUGAAAACUCGAGGCUCAACCUCGAGACGUCGGUUGAAACCGUACGGCUAGAGUCCGGAAGAGGAGAGUGGAAUUCCCGGUGUAGCGGUGAAAUGCGCAGAUAUCGGGAAGAACACCCGUGGCGAAGGCGGCUCUCUGGGACGGUACUGACGCUGAGACGCGAAAGCGUGGGGAGCGAACAGG
Molecule: ribosomal RNA, 253 nt
Filed under: uncultured bacterium
Lineage: Bacteria
Description: partial 16S ribosomal RNA
Rfam family: Bacterial small subunit ribosomal RNA
Source: RNAcentral